This 382-nucleotide ribosomal RNA is filed under the name uncultured eukaryote. RNAcentral's name for it is "partial 18S ribosomal RNA". It matches the Rfam family "Eukaryotic small subunit ribosomal RNA", at positions 592 to 976 of the family's 1831-position model. The record is from RNAcentral.
UGUAAGCGUAUACCAAAGUUGUUGCAGUUAAAACGCUCGUAGUCGGAAUUUGGCAGUUCCGGAUAUGUGCACGUCGUGUGCGCACUUCGCGGGGAUUGCUUUUGUGGUCUUGCGUAGGAUGAGGCACUUUUAUUAGUGAACGUCCUCACGCAACCACUUUUUACUGUGAGAAAAUCAGAGUGCUCAAAGCAGGCAUUUGCCGUGAAUGUAUUAGCAUGGAAUAAUAGAAUAGGACUUGGUUCUAUUUUGUUGGUUUGUUGGGACUGAGUAAUGAUUAAGAGGGACAGUUGGGGGCAUUUGUAUUUCGGUGCUAGAGGUGAAAUUCUUAGAUUACCGAAAGACAAACUGCUGCGAAAGCGUCUGCCAAGGAUGUUUUCAUUGA